UGAGCAUUGCUGUCUGCACAUUCUCAAGCUGUUAAACUCUUUUGAAGACAAGGCUUCAGCAGUCAUUUGGAAGUGCUCUUCCAGGCUGACCAAGGCUGAAAAUGCAAGAAAUGAAACACACAGAGAAGUAAAAUUACUUUGGAAAGAAAGGACAUUUCUGAAUCAGGAUUUGGAUCUGGUUGUCUGCAACAACUACUACAAACCAGCCUGUGAAUGAAAGCUGGAUGAAGAAUUUCCUGCCUGCUCUGUUUUGGUGAAGCAGCAAAGAAGGAGGGGGAAUACUGCUUUUAAAGAGAUAACUGUAUUAAAACA
This 312-nucleotide long non-coding RNA is filed under the name Parus major (Great Tit). RNAcentral's name for it is "lncRNA (ENSPMJG00000017258.1)". The record is from RNAcentral. Lineage: Eukaryota; Metazoa; Chordata; Aves; Passeriformes; Paridae.